This 301-nucleotide ribosomal RNA is filed under the name uncultured bacterium. RNAcentral's name for it is "partial 16S ribosomal RNA". It matches the Rfam family "Bacterial small subunit ribosomal RNA", at positions 509 to 809 of the family's 1533-position model. The record is from RNAcentral.
CAGUAGCCGCGGUAAUACGUAGGUCCCGAGCGUUGUCCGGAUUAUUGGGCGUAAAGGGAGCGCAGGCGGUUUAGUAAGUCUGAAGUUAAAGGCAUUGGCUCAACCAAUGUAUGCUUUGGAAACUGUUAGACUUGAGUGCAGAAGGGGAGAGUGGAAUUCCAUGUGUAGCGGUGAAAUGCGUAGAUAUAUGGAGGAACACCGGUGGCGAAAGCGGCUCUCUGGCCUGUCACUGACGCUGAGGCUCGAAAGCGUGGGUAGCGAACAGGAUUAGAUACCCCGGUAGUCCCUGUCUCUUAUACAC